GAGUUUGAUCAUGGCUCAGAUUGAACGCUGGCGGCAUGCCUUACACAUGCAAGUCGAACGGCAGCACGGGAGCUUGCUCCUGGUGGCGAGUGGCGAACGGGUGAGUAAUGCAUCGGAACGUAUCCUGGAGUGGGGGAUAACGUAGCGAAAGUUACGCUAAUACCGCAUAUUCUGUGAGCAGGAAAGCGGGGGACCUUCGGGCCUCGCGCUCUUGGAGCGGCCGAUGUCGGAUUAGCUAGUUGGUGAGGUAAAGGCUCACCAAGGCGACGAUCCGUAGCAGGUCUGAGAGGAUGAUCUGCCACACUGGAACUGAGACACGGUCCAGACUCCUACGGGAGGCAGCAGUGGGAAUUUUGGACAAUGGGGCAACCCUGAUCAGCCAUGCCGCGUGAGUGAAGAAGGCC
RNAcentral lists this ribosomal RNA (404 nucleotides) under bacterium enrichment culture clone ALO1_GLFRUDD03GSRSB. Its description in RNAcentral is "bacterial SSU rRNA". It matches the Rfam family "Bacterial small subunit ribosomal RNA", at positions 9 to 416 of the family's 1533-position model. The record is from RNAcentral.